This 491-nucleotide ribosomal RNA is filed under the name uncultured bacterium. RNAcentral describes it as "partial 16S ribosomal RNA". It matches the Rfam family "Bacterial small subunit ribosomal RNA", at positions 29 to 507 of the family's 1533-position model. The record is from RNAcentral.
AGUGAACGCUAGCGGUAGGCCUAACACAUGCAAGUCGAACGGCAGCACAGUAAGAGCUUGCUCUUACGGGUGGCGAGUGGCGGACGGGUGAGGAAUACAUCGGAAUCUACUUUUUCGUGGGGGUUACGUUAGGAAAACUUCGCCUAUUACCCAUUCCACCUACCGGUUAAAACCAGGGGACUUUCGACCUUUGCCCAUUGAAUGAACCGAUGUCGGAUUAGCUAGUUGGCGGGGUAAAGGCCCACCAAGGCGACGAUCCGUAGCUGGUCUGAGAGGAUGAUCAGCCACACUGGAACUGAGACACGGUCCAGACUCCUACGGGAGGCAGCAGUGGGGAAUAUUGGACAAUGGGCGCAAGCCUGAUCCAGCCAUACCGCGUGGGUGAAGAAGGCCUUCGGGUUGUAAAGCCCUUUUGUUGGGAAAGAAAAGCAGCAGGUUAAUACCCCGCUGUUCUGACGGUACCCAAAGAAUAAGCACCGGCUAACUUCGUG